GACGAACGCUGGCGGCGUGCUUAACACAUGCAAGUCGAACGGAAAGGCCUUUUCGGCGGUACUCGAGUGGCGAACGGGUGAGUAACACGUGGGUGAUCUGCCCUGCACUCUGGGAUAAGCCUGGGGAACUGGGUCUAAUACCGGAUAGGACCGCACUUUAGUGUGUGUGGUGGAAAGUUUUUUCGGUGUAGGAUGAGCCCGCGGCCUAUCAGCUUGUUGGUGGGGUAAUGGCCUACCAAGGCGGCGACGGGUAGCCGGACUGAGAGGUUGGUCGGCCACAUUGGGACUGAGAUACGGCCCAGACUCCUACGGGAGGCAGCAGUGGGGAAUAUUGCACAAUGGGCGCAAGCCUGAUGCAGCGACGCCGCGUGGGGGAUGACGGCCUUCGGGUUGUAAACUCCUUUCGCCAGGGACGAAGCGUUUUGUGACGGUACCUGGAGAAGAAGCACCGGCUAACUACGUG
This 463-nucleotide ribosomal RNA is filed under the name uncultured bacterium. RNAcentral describes it as "partial 16S ribosomal RNA". It matches the Rfam family "Bacterial small subunit ribosomal RNA", at positions 28 to 507 of the family's 1533-position model. The record is from RNAcentral.